Molecule: non-coding RNA, 78 nt
Organism: Potamilus streckersoni
Lineage: Eukaryota; Metazoa; Mollusca; Bivalvia; Unionida; Unionidae
Source: the annotation of a GenBank genome assembly
GACUAUUCCAGUGGCCUAAGUGGUUAGAGCAUCCAUCUCAAAUGUGGGAGGUUGUGGGUUCAAACCUUGUCUGAGUCA